AACGAACGCUGGCGGCAUGCCUAACACAUGCAAGUCGAACGAGACCUUCGGGUCUAGUGGCGCACGGGUGCGUAACGCGUGGGAACCUGCCCUUAGGUUCGGAAUAACUCCCCGAAAGGGGUGCUAAUACCGGAUAAUGUCUUCGGACAAAAGAUUGAUCGCCUUUGGAUGGGCCCGCGUUGGAUUAGCUAGUUGGUAGGGUAAAAGCCUACCAAGGCGACGAUCCAUAGCUGGUCUGAGAGGAUGAUCAGCCACACUGGGACUGGGACACGGCCCAGACUCCUACGGGAGGCAGCAGUGGGGAAUAUUGGACAAUGGGCGAGAUCCUGAUGCAGCAAGGCCGCGUGAGUGAUGAAGGCCUGAGAGUUGUAAAGCUCUUUUACCCGGGAUGAUAAUGACAGUACCGGGAGAAUAAGCUCCGGCUAACUCCGUG
This 433-nucleotide ribosomal RNA is filed under the name uncultured bacterium. Its description in RNAcentral is "partial 16S ribosomal RNA". It matches the Rfam family "Bacterial small subunit ribosomal RNA", at positions 29 to 507 of the family's 1533-position model. The record is from RNAcentral.